UUCGCCCCUUGCCCUUCCAAGCUGGUGAGUUGAAUGUUGUACGACUUGAGAAACUUAGGAAUUGUGCCGUUGAACACCCUGUGACCACACUCCCAUUAUACAUCAUAGAAGCAACACCACACCCCUCAAAAACAAUCUUAUUGCGUAUUUUGGAAUACAAGAAGGGGCUCCCACCAAGAUCGAAGCUGGUGGCCUUGCUGCUAUUCCGAACAGAGUUUUGGCAACCAGAGUAGAGCGUUGGCAUGCUAACAGUGACUGUUUGAUUAUCUAAGCUAACACCCAAGAUUUCCAUGUGGUUGAGUGCAGAUAGAUAGGGCGUCGAGGAUUUGCACUCAACGACGUACCAUGGGUUGACAGAACAAUUCAAACCGAUUCCAAAAGGGUAUGGAAUCAUCACGCCCCCGCAUGUAUCGUCGCACCCUGUCUUGGCGUAGGUUGAAACUGCAGUUGAUGUUGCUGCUAGUGAAAGGAAAAAGAGUAACUGCAGGUAAGCUUGAAAUAACUUCAUGUUUGUAAAGAAGAAGGGUGUAAGGAGGUGUAUAAGUUUAUAAUGGUGGGUAUGAUUGAAU
RNAcentral lists this long non-coding RNA (569 nucleotides) under Helianthus annuus (common sunflower). RNAcentral's name for it is "sRNA HanXRQr2_Chr14g0649571". The record is from RNAcentral. Lineage: Eukaryota; Viridiplantae; Streptophyta; Magnoliopsida; Asterales; Asteraceae.